Kuraishia capsulata CBS 1993 is the source of this 82-nucleotide non-coding RNA. The record is from Rfam. NCBI's taxonomy places the organism in Eukaryota, Fungi, Ascomycota, Pichiomycetes, Pichiales, Pichiaceae.
GGCACUGUGGCCGAGCGGUUAAGGCGAAAGACUUGAAAUCUUUUGGGUUUCACCCGCGCAGGUUCGAGUCCUGCCAGUGUCG